Molecule: ribosomal RNA, 447 nt
Filed under: uncultured bacterium
Lineage: Bacteria
Description: SSU rRNA
Rfam family: Bacterial small subunit ribosomal RNA
Source: RNAcentral
AGAGCGAACGCUGGCGGCAGGCCUAAAACAUGCAAGUCGAACGGACCCUUCGGGGUUAGUGGCGGACGGGUGAGUAACACGUGGGAACGUGCCUUUUGGUUCAGAACAACUCAGGGAAACUUGAGCUAAUACUGAAUAAGCCCUACGGGGGAAAGAUUUAUCGCCAUUAGAGCGGCCCGCGUUGGAUUAGCUAGUUGGUGAGGUAAAGGCUCACCAAGGCUACGAUCCAUAGCUGGUCUGAGAGGAUGAUCAGCCACACUGGGACUGAGACACGGCCCAGACUCCUACGGGAGGCAGCAGUUAGGAAUCUUGCGCAAUGGGCGAAAGCCUGACGCAGCCAUGCCGCGUGAAUGAUGAAGGUCUUAGGAUUGUAAAAUUCUUUCAGCGGGGAAGAUAAUGACUGUACCCGCAGAAGAAGCUCCGGCUAACUUCGUGCCAGCAGGCCGC